Long non-coding RNA from Nycticebus coucang (slow loris), 326 nucleotides. RefSeq lists it as uncharacterized. NCBI's taxonomy places the organism in Eukaryota, Metazoa, Chordata, Mammalia, Primates, Lorisidae. The record is from RefSeq and is a predicted model, not a curated record. The transcript has 3 exons.
CUUCCGUCAUGAAUGGAGUGGGCCCUUCUUGUUCAUGGAAGAAACAGAAUGAAUGGGGUAGGCGGGAGCCUCCCUUCACCUCAAUGUGCAGCCUCUGGAUAUACUUGCUCAUGACCAGGGGGUCAAUGGGCUCCUGAGAAGACGUUCCUGCCAGAGGAGGUGGAGACCCACAGCCUUCAGUACCUCCAGGGUUGCUUCUUUUCCUGAGCUGCCGCUUUCCGCUCCUCCUUCCCAACUCUCCCAGCAGGCCCCUUCACUUCUGCCAUGGGAGAAGAUUUUUGAUCUAAGGGAGGUGAGUGGAGGACAACAUGUCAGGUACCUGUGGC